RNAcentral lists this unclassified non-coding RNA (552 nucleotides) under Sedum fuscum. RNAcentral's name for it is "partial contains external transcribed spacer and 18S ribosomal RNA". The stretch from base 498 to 552 matches the Rfam family "Eukaryotic small subunit ribosomal RNA", at positions 1 to 55 of the family's 1831-position model. The record is from RNAcentral. Lineage: Eukaryota; Viridiplantae; Streptophyta; Magnoliopsida; Saxifragales; Crassulaceae.
GGCGGCCUUUUAGCCAUUUUCGUCUUUUGAUUUGAUAUUAAAUUGAUCAAAUCGAUGGCAUUUUGGUUAGAUCGACGCGUUGACGUGUGAGUGGCUAUUUGAAUGUUUGUGUUGGCUGGCUCCCUGCUUGCGCAGCGAACGGUCGGUGCAUGCAUAUUUCAGUCGAGUCUGAGACGUGAGACUUGGAUUUUUGUGUUGCCAACCCAAAGGUGGAAUUGAGAUGACUCAGUCCUAUAACUUUUCCUAACAUCCCUUGAGGUGCUUGUCGGACGAUAUAGCUGCCUGUUUUUUCACCAUGCUCUCCCUUUUGGGAACCAUGGAAAAUUUGAUGGUAUUGCUUGUUGCCUUGGAUUCAGAGCACGAAGUGAGCAUGAUGCCCGUCAUCAAUUGCUCAAUAAGAGCUCUCGAUUGCUUGAAAAGAUAGACCGCCGCGCUUGGUUUUUGGGCUGUCGACUCGUCGUUCCAGCUCAAAACCUUGCCGACGUCUCAAUGAAUGCUACCUGGUUGAUCCUGCCAGUAGUCAUAUGCUUGUCUCAAAGAUUAAGCCAUGCA